GAUGAACGCUGGCGGCGUGCCUAAUACAUGCGAGUCGAGCGAACGGACGAGAAGCUUGCUUCUCUGAUGUUAGCGGCGGACGGGUGGGUAACACGUGGAUAACCUACCUAUAAGACUGGGAUAACUUCGGGAAACCGUAGCUAAUACCGGAUAAUAUUUUGAACCGCAUGGUUCAAAAGUGAAAGACGGUCUUGCUGUCACUUAUAGAUGGAUCCGCGCUGCAUUAGCUAGUUGGUAAGGUAACGGCUUACCAAGGCAACGAUGCAUAGCCGACCUGAGAGGGUGAUCGGCCACACUGGAACUGAGACACGGUCCAGACUCCUACGGGAGGCAGCAGUAGGGAAUCUUCCGCAAUGGGCGAAAGCCUGACGGAGCAACGCCGCGUGAGUGAUGAAGGUCUUCGGAUCGUAAAACUCUGUUAUUAGGGAAGAACAUAUGUGUAAGUAACUGUGCACAUCUUGACGGUACCUAAUCAGAAAGCCACGGCUAACUACGUG
Molecule: ribosomal RNA, 497 nt
Filed under: uncultured bacterium
Lineage: Bacteria
Description: partial 16S ribosomal RNA
Rfam family: Bacterial small subunit ribosomal RNA
Source: RNAcentral